Molecule: long non-coding RNA, 446 nt
Organism: Schistocerca americana (American grasshopper)
Lineage: Eukaryota; Metazoa; Arthropoda; Insecta; Orthoptera; Acrididae
Exons: 2
Source: RefSeq, a predicted model, not a curated record
UGUGGCCGCCGUGCAUCCCCGCGCCUCCGCAGACGACGUCGGCGCACGCAGAUAAAAAGCCGCCUGCCGCGACAGCUUCCGACAGCCGCCUCUUGUCCGCUCUGUAAUCGCACGCUCACAACCGGCGCCAUGAGGACACGCACGCUGCUGCUACUGCUUCUCGUGUUGGUGGCUACGGCCACACUCUUCGCCCCCGCGGCAGCCUGGAGGUGGCCCUGGGAGAAACCGAAAAUCAUUGCAGAGAUGAUCAAAAUGCGGCAGAGGUGUGGGUCCGGAACGGUGCGAGUCGGCAACAUGUGUAGAAGGGUCUACAUGGCAUGAGGUGGCUGGGGACAUUCAUAAUGUGGAAGACAUCACAACAGAAAAGAAAAUUGGAACCUUUUAUAUGUAAAUAAAUUUUGUACAGUUAUUUAUAAUGUAAAUAAUAAAUGUGAUACUGAUGCAAA